RNAcentral lists this ribosomal RNA (478 nucleotides) under uncultured bacterium. Its description in RNAcentral is "partial 16S ribosomal RNA". It matches the Rfam family "Bacterial small subunit ribosomal RNA", at positions 28 to 523 of the family's 1533-position model. The record is from RNAcentral.
GACGAACGCUGGCGGCGUGCUUAACACAUGCAAGUCGAACGGUAAGGCCCUUCGGGGUACACGAGUGGCGAACGGGUGAGUAACACGUGGGUGAUCUGCCCUGCACUUCGGGAUAAGCCUGGGAAACUGGGUCUAAUACCGGAUAGGACUCCUGGCUUCAUGGUUGGGGGUGGAAAGCUUUUGCGGUGUGGGAUGGGCCCGCGGCCUAGCAGCUUGUUGGUGGGGUAAUGGCCUACCAAGGCGACGACGGGUAGCCGGUCUGAGAGGGUGACCGGCCACACUGGGACUGAGAUACGGCCCAGACUCCUACGGGAGGCAGCAGUGGGGAAUAUUGCACAAUGGGCGCAAGCCUGAUGCAGCGACGCCGCGUGAGGGAUGACGGCCUUCGGGUUGUAAACCUCUUUCAGUAGGGACGAAGCGCAAGUGACGGUACCUACAGAAGAAGGACCGGCCAACUACGUGCCAGCCGCCGCGGUAA